UGGCGACCAGAUUGUACGAAUAGGCUAGCUGUCAAACCGAUCAGCGUAUGCUUCUCGUGUGUGGAUAUGUGCGUCGCCACGAGUGUGUGUGUCGACAUGUUGUCAUCGUAUAUCUGCCUUGUGUGGUUUUGUACCUAGCGUGAUUUGGCGUCCAAAACUAAAUAAACAUUCUGCAAUCGUUGUGAACAAUCUGGUUUGGUUAGUGUUUUUUGAAACAAAAUAUAUGAAAAUGAAACGUAACUCUUCGCAUUUUCAUAAAUUAGGUGUUACGGGUCAACUGUACAAAAUGUCGGCUCGAAGGGAAGCUUUGGAAAAGUCUGCUGAACAAGAAUCCGAAAAUGCUGACCCUGAUUCUACGGUUGAUUGUUUACAUGUCGGUAAGUAAUUACAGGAACGAAAGAAACGAAUGAUUUCAUAGCUCUUCGCUGUGUUAAAGAAUACAAUUUCAUGCCGUCCGUUUCAGACAACCAUACAGAAGACAACCAAACAAUCGAUGUUGUUCCGAUUAUUGAAACACCGGAUGGUUAUACCGACAACACGUUUGAAGCAUCGUAUCUCGACGAAGAUUAUGAUUGGCUGAGUCAAGCUGAUUGAGCAUGUGAAAGUUUCAGAAAGGAUUAAUAUGAAUGUAUCCAUCGAUUGAUUGCCAUUGUUCAAAGGAUCUCCUUCUUCAUUUUGGUUAAUAUUGAUCAACGUUCAUGAGAUUCCGAUUCUGUCGCCUAUGAUUGCAGCAAUGUUCCACGGCAUCACUAAACAUUCUCAGCUACAGGAAUUUCUAGGACCGUUUGUUAAAGAGAUGAAUGAUGUUAUCGAAAAUGGUAUCCAAAUUAACAACACAGUAGUUAGUGUGACCUUGCGCGCAUUUAUAUGCGAUGUCCCGGCAAGAGCUUACUAUCACGGUGUCAUGUAUUUCAACGCAAAACAUGGAUGUUUGAAAUGUUGCACCGUCGUCGAACACAGAUCUAAGAAUAGAUAGAAGAUAUUGUGGUAGCAGAUCGCCUGCAUCUAUA
Long non-coding RNA from Anopheles funestus (African malaria mosquito), 1010 nucleotides. RefSeq lists it as uncharacterized. The record is from RefSeq and is a predicted model, not a curated record. The transcript has 3 exons. NCBI's taxonomy places the organism in Eukaryota, Metazoa, Arthropoda, Insecta, Diptera, Culicidae.